Molecule: small RNA, 83 nt
Filed under: Flavobacterium tiangeerense
Lineage: Bacteria; Pseudomonadati; Bacteroidota; Flavobacteriia; Flavobacteriales; Flavobacteriaceae
Description: Flavo-1 RNA
Rfam family: Flavo-1 RNA
Source: RNAcentral
CUCUAGCCCCGAUUAUAAUGGAAAUCCUUUACUGCGGCGCGAUAGCAAAGCAGGAAAGAUUGAAAUGAAAAGCGGGAAACAGC